Molecule: small nuclear RNA, 117 nt
Filed under: Carlito syrichta (Philippine tarsier)
Lineage: Eukaryota; Metazoa; Chordata; Mammalia; Primates; Tarsiidae
Description: U4 spliceosomal RNA (ENSTSYG00000023783.2)
Rfam family: U4 spliceosomal RNA
About the family: U4 small nuclear RNA (U4 snRNA) is a component of the major U2-dependent spliceosome.
Source: Rfam by way of RNAcentral
AACUUUGCACAGUGGCAGUAUCAUACCAAUGAGGUUUAUCCGAGGCACGAUUAUUGCUAAUUGAAAACUUUUUGACUGAAUGCCUGAUCCCUGCAAAUAAAGCCUUUUUACAUAAAA